UUGGAGGGCAAGUCUGGUGCCAGCAGCCGCGGUAAUUCCAGCUCCAAUAGCGUAUAUUAAUGUUGUUGCAGUUAAAAAGCUCGUAGUUGAAUUUCGGGAUCAGUUUGUUGGUCGUGCUUCGGUACGUACUGUCAUUACUGGUUUCUCCCUUCUGAAGAACCUUGAUGUCAUUAAUUUGGUGUCUUGGGGAAUCAGGACUGUUACUUUGAAAAAAUUAGAGUGUUUAAAGCAGGCAUACGCUUGAAUACAUUAGCAUGGAAUAAUGAAAUAGGACGUUUGAUUCUAUUUUGUUGGUUUCUAGGAUCGACGUAAUGAUUAAUAGGGAUAGUUGGGGGCAUUAGUAUUCAAUUGUCAGAGGUGAAAUUCUUGGAUUUAUUGAAGACUAACUACUGCGAAAGCAUUUGCCAAGGAUGUUUUCAUUAAUCAAGAACGAAAGUUAGGGGAUCGAAGACGAUCAGAUACCGUCGUAGUCUUAACCAUAAACUAUGCCGACUAGGGAUCGGAUGAUGUUAAUUUUUUAAUGACUCAUUCGGCGCCUUACGGGAAAC
RNAcentral lists this ribosomal RNA (548 nucleotides) under uncultured Glomus. RNAcentral describes it as "SSU rRNA". It matches the Rfam family "Eukaryotic small subunit ribosomal RNA", at positions 548 to 1098 of the family's 1831-position model. The record is from RNAcentral. Lineage: Eukaryota; Fungi; Glomeromycota; Glomeromycetes; Glomerales; Glomeraceae.